Molecule: transfer RNA, 65 nt
Filed under: Eospalax rufescens
Lineage: Eukaryota; Metazoa; Chordata; Mammalia; Rodentia; Spalacidae
Description: tRNA-Pro
Source: RNAcentral
CAAGGAAUAGUUUAAUUAGAAUGUCAGCUUUGGGUGCUGAUGGUGGAAUUUGCUUUCUUCCUUGA